UACGAAGGGGGCUAGCGUUGCUCGGAAUCACUGGGCGUAAAGGGUGCGUAGGCGGGUCUUUAAGUCAGAGGGGAAAUCCUGGAGCUCAACUCCAGAACUGCCUUUGAUACUGAGGGUCUUGAGUAUGACAGAGGUGAGUGGAACUGCGAGUGUAGAGGUGAAAUUCGUAGAUAUUCGCAAGAACACCAGUGGCGAAGGCGGCUCACUGGGUCAUUACUGACGCUGAGGCACGAAAGCGUGGGGAGCAAACAGG
This 253-nucleotide ribosomal RNA is filed under the name uncultured bacterium. RNAcentral describes it as "partial 16S ribosomal RNA". It matches the Rfam family "Bacterial small subunit ribosomal RNA", at positions 524 to 776 of the family's 1533-position model. The record is from RNAcentral.